RNAcentral lists this ribosomal RNA (253 nucleotides) under uncultured bacterium. RNAcentral's name for it is "partial 16S ribosomal RNA". It matches the Rfam family "Bacterial small subunit ribosomal RNA", at positions 524 to 776 of the family's 1533-position model. The record is from RNAcentral.
UACGGGGGGGGCAAGCGUUGUCCGGAUUUAUUGGGCGUAAAGAGCGUGUAGGCGGCCAGGUAGGUCGGUUGUGAAAACUGGAGGCUUAACCUUCAGACGUCGACCGAAACCAUCUGGCUAGAGUCCGGAAGAGGAGAGUGGAAUUCCUGGUGUAGCGGUGGAAUGCGCAGAUAUCAGGAAGAACACCCGUGGCGAAAGCGGCUCUCUGGGACGGUACUGACGCUGAGACGCGAAAGCGUGGGGAGCGAACAGG